AAGCACUCUUUUAACGUCAUUAGCUUGACCCGGUAAAGCCCAAACACCCAUCAGUAGGUGUUGAAAUUUUAUGUUCGUGUUCCUCCUUCCUUCAUGACACCAACAACAUCUCGGAAAUUCCUUUGUCACCAACUGUAAGAGCUCUGUUUGCUUUGAUAGUCUUGACAACCCAUNACCUAAUUUUGAAUUUCAUUGAUGUGCCAGGUUAGGGUUUGUCACUUUUCACAUCAGGGUGUUGGUGAACCAAUUCUCCUUCCUUAUCUGCCUCCUGAUGAUCUUGUGCGCCUAGU
RNAcentral lists this long non-coding RNA (290 nucleotides) under Vigna radiata. RNAcentral's name for it is "long non-coding RNA (VRAD_LNC007853)". The record is from RNAcentral. Lineage: Eukaryota; Viridiplantae; Streptophyta; Magnoliopsida; Fabales; Fabaceae.